Molecule: ribosomal RNA, 843 nt
Filed under: uncultured bacterium
Lineage: Bacteria
Description: bacterial SSU rRNA
Rfam family: Bacterial small subunit ribosomal RNA
Source: RNAcentral
CCCUUAGAGUUUGAUCCUGGCUCAGAACGAACGUUGGCGGCGUGGAUUAGGCAUGCAAGUCGGGGGAAUCCCAGCAAUGGGGGAACCGGCGUAAGGGGCAGUAAUGUGCGGGUACCUACCUUUGGGUUCGGGAUAGCCAUCAGAGAUGGUGGGUAAUACCGGAUGACGUCGUGAGACCAAAGAUUUAUCGCCCGAAGAGGGGCCCACAUGAUAUUAGCUAGUUGGUGAGGUAACGGCUCACCAAGGCGAAGAUGUCUAGCGGGUGUGAGAGCGCGACCCGCGCCACUCGCACUGAGACACUGGCGAGACACCUACGGGUGGCUGCAGUCGAGGAUCUUCGGCAAUGAGCGCAAGCUUGACCGAGCGACGCCGCGUGAGCGAUGAAGGCCUUCGGGUUGUAAAGCUCUUUAGUGGGGGAGAAAAGCCCGCAAGGGUGUGAUCUAUCCCAAAAAUAAGCACGGGCUAAGUUCGUGCCAGCAGCCGCGGUAAGACGAACCGUGCGAACGUUGUUCGGAACCACUGGGCUUAAAGGGCGCGUAGGCGGGCUGACAAGUCUGGGGUGAAAUGCCGCGGCUCAACCGUGGAACUGCCUUAGAUACUGUCGGCCUCGAGGAAGGUAGGGGCAUGCGGAACUGUAGGUGGAGCGGUGAAAUGCGUUGAUAUCUACAGGAACUCCGGUGGCGAAAGCGGCGUGCUGGACCUUUUCUGACGCUGAGGCGCGAAAGCUAGGGGAGCAAACGGGAUAGAUACCCCGGUAGUCCUAGCCCUAAACGAUGGGUACUAGGUAGUAGACUAGACAUGGGUUUACUGCGAAGCUAAAGUGCUAGUACCCGCCUGGGGGAG